UACAGAGGGGGCAAGCGUUGUCCGGAUUGACUGGGCGUACAGCGCGCGCAGGCGGGCUGCCAGGUGCCGUGUGACAAGCCGCCGCUCAACGGCGGAGGGACAGGGUAGACCAGCAGCCUGGAGGCCGGGAGAGGGUCGUGGAAUACCCGGUGGAGCGGUGAAAUGCGUAGAGAUCGGGUGGAACACCAGCGGCGCAGGCGGCGACCUGGCCCGGACCUGACGCUGAGGCGCGAGAGCGUGGGGAGCGAACCGG
This 253-nucleotide ribosomal RNA is filed under the name uncultured bacterium. RNAcentral describes it as "partial 16S ribosomal RNA". It matches the Rfam family "Bacterial small subunit ribosomal RNA", at positions 524 to 776 of the family's 1533-position model. The record is from RNAcentral.